RNAcentral lists this ribosomal RNA (562 nucleotides) under uncultured fungus. RNAcentral describes it as "eukaryotic LSU rRNA". The stretch from base 205 to 358 matches the Rfam family "5.8S ribosomal RNA". The record is from RNAcentral. Lineage: Eukaryota; Fungi.
UCUUGGUCAUUUAGAGGAAGUAAAAGUCGUAACAAGGUCUCCGUAGGUGAACCUGCGGAGGGAUCAUUAAAGAGCGAGCGCGGAAACGCGCAACCUCCAACCCUUUGUGUGCGAAACCGCGUUGCCUCCGGGGUGCGAGAGCGCCCCGGGUGGACCACUCAAACACUGCAUCUUUGCGUCUGAGUACUUUAUUAAAUUAAUCAAAACUUUCAACAACGGAUCUCUUGGUUCUGGCAUCGAUGAAGAACGCAGCGAAAUGCGAUAAGUAAUGUGAAUUGCAGAAUUCAGUGAAUCAUCGAAUCUUUGAACGCACAUUGCGCCCCCUGGUAUUCCGGGGGGCAUGCCUGUUCGAGCGUCAUUACACCACUCAAGCACAGCUUGGUUUUGGGCUCCGCGGACACGCGAGCCUCAAUGACACCGGCCGAGCACCCGACCUCCGAGCGUAGAAGCAUCGUUUCGCUCUCGAGUUAGGGGACCCGCGCCGUAAAAACCUCUUUAACAAAGGUUGACCUCGGAUCAGGUAGGGAUACCCGCUGAACUUAAGCAUAUCAAUAAGCGGAGG